This 437-nucleotide ribosomal RNA is filed under the name Segatella oris F0302. Its description in RNAcentral is "bacterial SSU rRNA". It matches the Rfam family "Bacterial small subunit ribosomal RNA", at positions 1 to 427 of the family's 1533-position model. Lineage: Bacteria; Pseudomonadati; Bacteroidota; Bacteroidia; Bacteroidales; Prevotellaceae. The record is from RNAcentral.
UACAAUGGAGAGUUUGAUCCUGGCUCAGGAUGAACGCUGGCUACAGGCUUAACACAUGCAAGUCGAGGGGAAACGACGGGGAAGCUUGCUUCCUUGGGCGUCGACCGGCGCACGGGUGAGUAACGCGUAUCCAACCUGCCUCUGACUGAGGGAUAACCCGUCGAAAGUCGGCCUAAUACCUCAUGGCAUCGUCUGCGGGCAUCCAACGACGAUUAAAGAUUUCAUCGGUCAGGGAUGGGGAUGCGUCUGAUUAGCUUGUUGGCGGGGUAACGGCCCACCAAGGCUACGAUCAGUAGGGGUUCUGAGAGGAAGGUCCCCCACAUUGGAACUGAGACACGGUCCAAACUCCUACGGGAGGCAGCAGUGAGGAUAUGGUCAAUGGGCGAGAGCCUGAACCAGCCAAGUAGCGUGCAGGAAGACGGCCCCUAUGGGUUGUA